CAAAAAAAACCCCGAACCUAGUUUUGAAUGGUCGUGGCUCCACUCCACUGAAUCAGUAGCCACAAGAAAGACGUCCUUUUCUCCGGGAGCUGCAUGGGGACUGCAGGAGUCCAAAGUCUCGCUGUGUUUUAUGGGGAACAGUUAUUAAUAUUGGGUCAAAUAAUCCAGUAUUUCUUCACUCUGGUGCUGAAGGUCCGCUGUGCUGCUCUGUACUGUGUUUCCCUUUUACUCUGUUUUCAUUUAAAGCCCCUCAGUCUUAAAACAGCGGCACUAGCGGGCCUUCAGAACCGAUAGUGAUUAUUACCCUGCCGGAUUAGAUUAGAGCAGCGCGGCGGAGCUCUGUAAGUCCCGGUGACGCUGCAACUGGAUUUUAUAAAGAUAUGAGAAAAGAAUGCUUUCGUCGUGGAUUUAACAUGAAAAGGUAAGCUGCUGUUAUGUUCUGAUCUGUGCAGGCAGUUUAUGCACUUAACGUAACUCCGUUAGACAACUAACUUACAGAGCUAGCGUUUGUUGUGUCUCCGGCUUAGUUUUCUGCAGUCCAUGAUUUAUUAGCUAAGGUGUUUAGUUUAUUUUGACCCCAAACAGCAGCAUUCACUGCAUUUUGCAUACUAUUAACUAACCGCGUGAAUCCACCGUACGUGCAAGUUACGAGUAACGGAUUAGUAAACACACUCUUGUCUUUUUUUUGAAUCCUCACAGUUUCUGUCAGAAAACACUGAAAGAAAACUUCUCCUCUGUCUCUGUUUAUACAGCGAUGGUUUGGGUUUAAAGCUGGGUUUGUUGUGCUGGAUAUUUGGUUAGGAGCAAGUUACACCCGCAGCUAACCAGUGACUUUAAAAAACAAAUAAACACAGCUGUUACUGGACUUUAUGGGUUUUAAAAAAAUGAGUUAAUUACUUUUAAAAGACUAGGCUACUAAUGUUGGCCCUGCUGUGUCCAGCUGAUCAUCCAGAAAUAAACAUUACCUAUGCUGGUCAAAAGCUAUUUAAAGAGCUAACCUCCCAGGGUGUGUUUGUUUGUUUUUUUCUGGUUUUGAGCAUUUUUUUAAGGAGGGAGUGUACGUCUGAGCUGCAGUAGAAGAGUGUAAUUUUAGAAAAGUUGCUGUAUUUGUCUCACUGUCUUAGAUAGUAUAGACUUUAAACAUGUUACUAAAAAUUAACACUGGACUGUGUUUUUAAAUACUUGCCAUUCUGGAUGUCCUGAACAUUUUCAUGCAUAUUUUUAUGUCGGUUAGUUUUAUUUAUAUAAAGUAAGACCUGUAGAUCUACUUUAUUGGAUAAAUUGAUACAGCUACCAUGAACUGUUUUGUUUCUGUUCUGUAAAAUCAGGCCCAGUUCCAAAAGACACAACAUCCUCAGUGUCCUGGAGCUCCAGCUGAAGCACUGGCCACUCCACCUUCUCCAUCCCCACCCAAAAGAGGUACUUCUAAGGCAGCUAGUUGAAGGCGUGAUUGAGGUCCAUGCCAGAGGGGUUCUGCACUGUGACCUCAAGCCAUAGAACAUCCUGGUUCAGAUGUACAGUUAGGAACCACGCCUUCAUCUUCUGUUCUUCUGGACCUUCCUCAUGAGUGGUUUACCCAUGAGGCCAAGUCCUCCACAGUGUUGCAGAUAGGAAUCAUCCUGCUGUGUGUGAGAGGUGACCCUUCAACACCAGCACGGAGAUCACCUCAAAGAAGUCUCAGAUCAUCUCUCCACCAUCUGCUCUAUGACCCCUGGCUAAGUAUACACCACGACACAGCCACCACAUCAGGCACACCUCAGUCAGGUACCAUAUAAAACAAUAAUAAUAAUAAUUUUAAAAAAUCAAUAUUUUCAAUCUCUAGUUUAGAGAGUUCUCUAGUAGAGCUGGGCGAUUAAUCGAUUUUAUCGAUAAAUUCGAAUUUAUAGUUAAGGACAAUGUGUUUUUAUGAAAAUCGAUUUUCUCUGAGUUUUCUUUUUCACCACAGACGCUCCUCUGUGGGCACAGAGUGAGCUUAGCUAGCUCCCUCCAUACCUCCCUCCCUCCAGCGCGCGCACCCCCCGCCCCUCCCUCACUCCCUCCCUCCCUCCCUUGCACGCACAAACACACACGCGCACACACACAUACACAAAACACAUGACGGCGGAGCUUAAGAGCAACUAGCUCCGUGAUCUGGAGUUGGUUCGGUGUUGCGGCGUUGGACGUAGACCAAACAGGUCCUCGCUGUAAGGUGAACCAAUUUAUCACUAUACCUUAAACAGAACCAUGUAGCGGAGUGGGAGAAGUGCUGCUACCAUAGGAGUGAACGCAGCAGCAGCACCAGUUCACCAUUCAACGUUAAACAAGGAACUGUCCCUGGCACAUCUUCCAACUGUGUACCAGGUUUUGUAUGCACUACAAGUUAAAAUGUUUUGCAUAUUCAUGAGAAAAGAUCUCAUUUUAUAGAACACUGGCACUUUUUUAAAUGCUUUGUUUUGCAAUUCUAGCCCAAUAGGGAAAAGUAUUUACUUAAGAGCAUAUAAAUUGUACUUGUUUUCUAUUGUCUACUUUGUAAGUUUUAUCAAAAAAGGGCACCAUUUUAUUUAUUUCUAUUUGUUUUUAAGGGUGUGUUUAUUUAUUUAUUUAUUUUUUAAGUUUGAGGGUGCAUUGUGUCAGUACCUAAACUAUGUUGGAGAAAGCUUUCUAAAAGUCACUAGAUGUUCUCACUGUUUACAAUAGUUUUUUUUUGCUUGUUUCUGGUUGCACUUUAACCACAAAUGGAACAUUUUAAGUGAAAACAAAUUAAAUAAGAACUAGUUUUUAACCAUUUCUUUAUCAUCUUUAGUUUGAUUUUUAGUAGGGGGAAAAAAUUGAUUUAAAUCGAAAAUUGGAUUUAAAAAAAAAAAAAUCUAAGAUUUUUUUUUUUCGGCCAUAUUGCCCAGCUCUAUACUCUAGUUUAGAGGGGUUUUUUUUAUAAAACACAGCUAAGGAAAAUAGCAGGUAUUAAUAAAGCUAUUGAUUCCAUACUUUUAAAAAGGUAAUGAUUUUCUUUAACUAUAUAAAUGUUUUAAUCGUUUUGUGUAUUGUAUGCUUUUAAUUGCUUCCUGUUUUGUAUUUGUGUUCAUGUACUUAAGGCUUUAAUCCUUUUAUCUUGAUAUUGUUUAUCUUUUGAUGUUUAUUAAUUACUUAACUGUAUUUAUCUUUAUGUAGUAUACUGUUAGUGUUUUAAUCCAUACACUUUUUGUAUAUAUUUCUUUUAUUGCUUAGUUACUUGCUUUAUUAAUGGUUAUUGUAUUGGUGUUUUAGUCUUAUUUUGGGCUUAUAUUCAUUAAAAACAUUUUAACGUUUGUCUUUUAGUGCUUUAAUCAAUUAAUAUUGUACUUAUCUUUUACUAUUUUACUAUUAAUCUUUCUGUACUUAAUUAUACAUUAUUUUUUAUUUAUUUUUUUAUAAAAUUAAAGGCGGGUUUAUUAAUUGUAUGUCUUUAUACGGGAUUUUAUAUUUGCAUAUUUUUGUUUCAUUUAAUGUUUAUGCUCUUUUGUCUUUUUCAGAUUUUUACAUUUUUAAUUUGUGUAUUGACCCAAGGAGUAUGGGUUCCUCUCAAGGUUUCUAUCUCUCUCUUCUGAGAGAAUUUUCUUUGCCGCUGUCUCCUUUGUGCUUACUCAAAAGAGGUUUGGACACUUUUUUUUUUUUUAACUGUUCUUAAUUUUGUUUGUUUCUUAACUUUGUCAAUAAAUGUUUUUUUAUUGCUAUCA
This is an RNA transcript of Astyanax mexicanus (Mexican tetra), 3692 nucleotides long. It is a transcript of the gene named SH2 domain-containing protein 4A-like, with no coding region annotated. The record is from RefSeq and is a predicted model, not a curated record. NCBI's taxonomy places the organism in Eukaryota, Metazoa, Chordata, Actinopteri, Characiformes, Acestrorhamphidae. The transcript has 4 exons.